AAAUGACAAAUAUGAAUAUCUUACAAAAAUGCAAGCAACAAAUUACCAAUACUCAAACAAAACCUCACUUCAGUGAAAUUCAAAUUUGGAGAAGGUUAGAGAAAAAGGACUUGAUGGGUUGGAUACAUGUAAUUGAUGCAGACGGGGCAUUCACUACAGGAAACAGACAUGGUUAGUUGGAAGAGGCAAUCUGCAAACACUAAUUACCAGUAAAUAUUCACAGAUAGAAAGCCUUUAGAUCUGUAUGUGUUCUUCGAAACAUCGUCAAAUUUUUAUCUAACGUGCCGCAUGGUCUGGGUCUGCAUCUCCAUAGCGAGUCUUUCCACAAAGUCCUUGGUGUAGUCCAAAAACAACACAAUCAAAAUCAACGAAGAAUGAAACCCAAAAGUAGAAUUAGGUAAAAUAAAACGCUAGAUAAACCCUGAAAAAUCUAAAAACCAUUCCAGAGUCAGAGUGAUGAGUAUUUAUGUUCAACGGUAGAAAGGGAAUUUCACCACUUGCCUGAUUCUGAUUACUUGAUGAGGUUGCAAAGUGGGGACUUGGACCUUGCUGCUAGAUAACAGGCAGGCUGUUCAAUGAAAACUCAUGAAUAAGCUUGUCUUUGUCAACCUUUUCGUCCAUUCCCUGCAAUAGAUUUGUAUAUAUUUCAAAAUCAAAACUCAAGAUAGAGGGGAAAAGUAGACCAAAAAAUGGAUUAACAAAAACAAUUAAUUCCCAAUAAUAUGAAAUCAAACGCCAAGAACACAAAAGAGAAGAGGUAAACAAAAUAAAAAACUGAAUAUCUGGUAGACUGAGAUGAGUCAAUAUUUGUGUCAUGGAGAAAGAUAUAACCCAAACGUAACUGCUCAUAGCAGUUUCAAAAAAUGACACCACGUUCAUCCUCUCCCUUGUGAACGGUUUUGCCAUUUUAGUUUGGAUUAUCUCAUUUUUCUAUUUGUUUUAAUUUGUUUUUGUUGCCAUUAUCUUUUAUCUAUCUCUCCUCUCCAUAACUGCUAACCUUUUAGAGGAUAAUUAUCAUGAUUUAAAAAAAAAAUUAAUUAUCAUGUUUUGUUUCAAUACGGUUACUGUUAAGUUCUUUUUUACGUUUUUGUCCCAUUUUUCUUUACUUUUUUUCUUUUUCUUUUUUUUAUAUUUUGUUUUUCAAUACUUUUUGAGUGCUACUAGACCCACCCCAGUGUCUUACACCCACAUGAUAAUCUCACCCACCAUAUAAAAUUAAAAAAGUAAAAUGCUAUUUCCCCACCCAUCAUUAUUCCCAAAAUAACCAUAAUAUUUUUUUAAAUAACUCUAAUAUAUCUUUAAAUAAUAUUAUAAAUAAAUAAAUAAAAAUAGAAAAAAAAAUGAAAGAAAAUGCAAGACCUAAGACCUAGACAUUCAUCAUCUCCUUCACACCUAAUGCCACUCUGCAGAGACCUCAGAUCCCCAAACCACUCUUCUUCCUCCUUUUUUGUCAAAACCGAAGAUCUCACAACCAAUUCUCUUUUUCCUCCAUUGAAGUUUCUCGCCUUCAUCUAGCACACGUCCAUUCCUUCCUCCAACCUUUCCGUCAAUUCUAACCCAAAUCUUUCCUAACCUCUUUCCACCAAAGUAUCACACCCAAACCACCAUUAUUUAUUUAUUAUUUUAAAUUAUUUGUUUUUUCAAAAUUUUAGUACUGAAUUAAAUAGGGGUUUAAGAGUCUUCUUUUAAAAUGAUAAAUAUGUUAUUAACAUUUUCAUUAAAUGGUGGGUGGGGAAAUAAGACAUCGGGGUGGGAAUAUCACCACUCUACUUUUUUUUGUUAAGAUAUGAUUUUUUACCAAUUUGUCCUUUUUUUUUUUUGAAUUUUUUGAGUUUUGAUUGUGAAGGAAACAAAUGGGCAUUUUUGACAUUUUGGAAAGCUUCACCAAACUAGGGCUCUCACUUUAUAUAUAUAGAUUAUUAUUGAAAAAUCGACAUUUAACCCAUUGAAAGUUAAAUUCUAUCUCAAUUUGUCUUCUUUUCGUCUUCUUCAUCUGCCAUCCCAGUAAGUUAGAUCAUGCGACUUCCAAGAAUUAAAUGACAAAUUUUUUGUUUCGAAUGACAACUUGAGACUCAAGUGUUGUUUUCGAGGUAAAUGAAUAAUCAAAGGCAAGUCAUAAACCAUACCCCAAGAAAGAAGAAAAAACAAACAAAUACCAUUGAUUUAAAAGAAAACUAAUGAGCCAUUGAUUUAAAAGAAAACUAAUGAAAAUAGUUUCAAACUUCGAAUAUUUAACCGAAAGAAUCCUAGUAACUUUAUUUAAUGGUGUAGACAAAAUUCAACAUUAAACAGCCAUGGAGUUUUAAUAAAAGAGUAAUGAUAUUCAUACCAUCUUUUUAUACCAGAUUUCUAUACGACCUUAGGUGGCAUCAUAUGGACAACCACAUUAUUUGAAAAUUUUGCAAAACCCAAGGAAAGGAAGGAGAAAGACUUCUCGUAUACCACAAUCAUCAUUUAAUUAACUAGUUUUUCUUAAUUAUUAGUUUAUUAAAUAAUGAACUAAAUUUAAAAAUCUAAUUAAUUCAAAUGAUGUGGCUGUCCACAUCAAAUGUCACCUAAGGUGGUAUGAAAAUGUGGUACGAAAAUAUGAUAUGAAUAGCAUUAUUGUUAAUAAAAAGGACUUCUCUAAACUUUUUCUUAAACAAAAACAACCUAGUGACUUUAUUUAAUAAAAAAGAUUUGAAUUUUACUAAAAAAAAAAACCAAAAGCUUAAUAUAAUAAUUAAAAAACCUAAAAAUAUUUUUUCUCCUUAUAAUCUCUCUUCUCUCCUCUGCCACUUCCUCUCUUUCCUUUAUGCAAAGGGAACUCAUGUUUUUCAAAAAAUAAAGAGGAUUAAGUGUGGAGCCCACUCCACAUCAAACUUCAACAAUCCAAACAAUCUACUUUGUAAUUCUUGAUUCAUAGAUCAUGUUUACAAAAAUUUAAUUCAAUCCGAAAUCAUUUGCCUAUUUAAUUAUAAAGAUAAAAUAUCAUUAUUUCUUAUAUAACAAAGUAUUCGUUAAUUUUUUUAAACCCAAUUAGAUGUCUUAAAUAUUUUUGAUUUGGCUAAUAUUUUGCAAAGAUGAUCUAUGAGGUGUAACUUGAAGAAUAGAUGCUUGGAUCGUUAAAGUUCAAUGUGGUGUGCACCCUACAACUAAUUCCCAUUUAAAAAAAAAGGGUAUCCCUUCCCUUAGAGGCUUCCUCUC
RNAcentral lists this long non-coding RNA (3186 nucleotides) under Malus domestica (apple). RNAcentral's name for it is "long non-coding RNA (MDOM_LNC008024)". Lineage: Eukaryota; Viridiplantae; Streptophyta; Magnoliopsida; Rosales; Rosaceae. The record is from RNAcentral.